GAGUAACACGUGGGCAAUCUGCCCUGCACUCUGGGACAAGCCCUGGAAACGGGGUCUAAUACCGGAUAUGACCAUCUUGGGCAUCCUUGAUGGUGUAAAGCUCCGGCGGUGCAGGAUGAGCCCGCGGCCUAUCAGCUUGUUGGUGAGGUAAUGGCUCACCAAGGCGACGACGGGUAGCCGGCCUGAGAGGGCGACCGGCCACACUGGGACUGAGACACGGCCCAGACUCCUACGGGAGGCAGCAGUGGGGAAUAUUGCACAAUGGGCGAAAGCCUGAUGCAGCGACGCCGCGUGAGGGAUGACGGCCUUCGGGUUGUAAACCUCUUUCAGCAGGGAAGAAGCGAAAGUGACGGUACCUGCAGAAGAAGCGCCGGCUAACUACGUGCCAGCAGCCGCGGUAAUACGUAGGGCGCAAGCGUUGUCCGGAAUUAUUGGGCGUAAAGAGCUCGUAGGCGGCUUGUCACGUCGAUUGUGAAAGCUCGGGGCUUAACCCCGAGUCUGCAGUCGAUACGGGCUAGCUAGAGU
RNAcentral lists this ribosomal RNA (525 nucleotides) under Streptomyces murinus. RNAcentral's name for it is "bacterial SSU rRNA". It matches the Rfam family "Bacterial small subunit ribosomal RNA", at positions 108 to 647 of the family's 1533-position model. Lineage: Bacteria; Bacillati; Actinomycetota; Actinomycetes; Kitasatosporales; Streptomycetaceae. The record is from RNAcentral. RNAcentral also lists the same sequence under 1 other name.